RNAcentral lists this long non-coding RNA (1613 nucleotides) under Crocodylus porosus (Australian saltwater crocodile). RNAcentral's name for it is "lncRNA (ENSCPRG00005017587.1)". Lineage: Eukaryota; Metazoa; Chordata; Crocodylia; Crocodylidae. The record is from RNAcentral.
UUUCAAGAGGGGCCCUGAAGCAGGGGGGCUGUUUUGGGACAAAGUAGCUCAAGCUGUGCAUUCCCUCCAAAUGAUUAAGCUUAAGAACACACAGAUGAGUCAUUUGAACAGCGUUUAAAACUCAGCCAUGGCCAAAUUUAAUGCAUCACUUGGACUGAGUAAUCGGGACAUCUCACAAAUCUCAGAAGCAAGUGAGAGCAGAAUCUGGAGCCUGCUCUUUGUAUUUCAGCAGCUCGCACUCCAAAUCUAUUUGCAAACAGAUACUGAGAAGCCCGAAAGAGAAUACUUUACAUCUUAAAUCAACUGGAAGGCAUCUAAAGCCAAGGGAUUGAAACGUCUGCUUUCAUUCCUAGAAAGAGGUGAGUCACUUGACAGGGCUACAUACUUCUCAAUAUGAUUUACACUUCUGCCAUUUUUAAAGGCAAAAUACAAACAAGCUUACUAUGCCUUCCCCAAAUUCAACUUCAGCAGCAACUGGAAAGUGGAACUGGACAUAAACAAGAGCUUGGAUCCAAACAGCCUCCAAACUUGGAUCUGCCUGAACUCUGCAGCAUACCUCACUGUAUGCCUGGCCUAAAUGAAACACCAGAGUGACCCCAUGGAAACUAGCCCUUGCUUCGAUAGCUUCAAACUCAAACCUCUCAAACUGUGCUGGUGGAAAAUAUUCUGAUUAAUUCCUCACAUAAACAGCCAAUUUAUAAACACAAGCACCAGACUGAAGGGAACAGUAAUACAACAGGGCUUCAUGGAAAAGAGGAGACAAAGAGGACUACUUGAGUGCAUCCACCUCUGAACCUCAACACCUGAAUAGAUCUUGCUUGGAACCAGCAAUGGGGCAUUUCAUGCUGAUCAGCAUUGACCAAUGUGAUCCAACAGAUGCAUAUUUAAGUCCCCAUCCCAACUCCAAGCAACAAGAAAUGAGAGCUGGAAGGGACAACUUGGGUCACCCAGGCCCGUUCCACGAUCUCACAGCCAGCAACAUCACGCAACCCCUUUCCUUGAAAGGGUCAAGGAGCCAUGCAAAACUUUUUCCCUAGGUUUCCAAAUUGUGGAUCCGUCUCUCAUUUUAAACACUCGGGUAACAAAAAUUCACUUUGCCAGCAGGACUUUACAAUUAAAUCUCUUUCUUCUACUUGCUGUUGUUUUCCUCUCCAGGCCACAUGAUCUAUGCUGCUUCUUUCAUCCAUUCAAUUAAAAAAUUCUGGCUUGAACAGUCAACUUCGAUUGUCUGUUUGACCUUUCUAUUUGCCUUGUACAUACUUAACACAAAAGAAUGGGAAAGUAACAUCCUGUUUAGAAUCUUGGAUCUCCACACCCUCAGCAAUGAAUCAGUGAACUUGGCAUGAGUGCCUAGCACGUUAACAAGCCUGACGGACUUUCAGAACAUGUCAUCAUCAAUCCAAAAAGACAAUACAGAACGUAAGUAAGCUUGCACUGAAUCAUGUCCUCCUCAAUGUUCAAAUUCUAAUUACAGUUAGAAAGCUAAGGUUAUCCUGCUCCCCACAGGGGAAACAUAAAGGAAAGAAAAGGCCACGUUUUACUUCUUAUGAGAACAAGAACAGCACCAAAUGAAGAAUAGUGUUGUAGAGAAGAUUUGCAGAUUGCUCUGGUGC